CAACGCGAAAACCUUACCUACCCUUGACAUGUCCGGAAUCCCGAAGAGAUUUGGGAGUGCUCGCAAGAGAACCGGAACACAGGUGCUGCAUGGCUGUCGUCAGCUCGUGUCGUGAGAUGUUGGGUUAAGUCCCGCAACGAGCGCAACCCUUGUCAUUAGUUGCCAUCAUUUGGUUGGGCACUCUAAUGAGACUGCCGGUGACAAACCGGAGGAAGGUGGGGAUGACGUCAAGUCCUCAUGGCCCUUAUGGGUAGGGCUUCACACGUCAUACAAUGGUCGGUACAGAGGGUUGCCAACCCGCGAGGGGGAGCUAAUCCCACAAAGCCGAUCGUAGUCCGGAUCGCAGUCUGCAACUCGACUGCGUGAAGCCGGAAUCGCUAGUAAUCGUGGAUCAGCAUGUCACGGUGAAUACGUUCCCGGGUCUU
Molecule: ribosomal RNA, 425 nt
Filed under: uncultured Rhodocyclaceae bacterium
Lineage: Bacteria; Pseudomonadati; Pseudomonadota; Betaproteobacteria; Rhodocyclales; Rhodocyclaceae
Description: bacterial SSU rRNA
Rfam family: Bacterial small subunit ribosomal RNA
Source: RNAcentral